This 348-nucleotide ribosomal RNA is filed under the name Triticum aestivum (bread wheat). Its description in RNAcentral is "partial small subunit ribosomal RNA". The record is from RNAcentral. Lineage: Eukaryota; Viridiplantae; Streptophyta; Magnoliopsida; Poales; Poaceae.
AUGCAGAAGGGACAUCCAGUAGCAUUCCUGAGCAAGGCUUUAGGGACUAAAAAUUGAGGGCUAUCAACCUAUGAAAAGGGGUGUCUCGCUAUACCAGUAGAUAAAUGGCGAUCAUACCUGAUGCACCAGGAGUUUGUUAUCCGAACAGAUCAACAAAGUCUCACUCAUUUAGAGGACCAACGACUUUCUACCGCAUGGCAGCAGAAGGCUAUGACAAAAAUGAUGGGGCUUCAAUAUAGAAUCGCUUACAAAAAAGGGCAGGACAAUAGGGUAGCCGACGCACUAUCAAGACGCAUCCACACCACCCUAGAAAUAGUGUAUGUCAUUUCUACUUGUGUUCCCAGUUGA